This is a non-coding RNA of Peromyscus maniculatus bairdii (prairie deer mouse), 1575 nucleotides long. Lineage: Eukaryota; Metazoa; Chordata; Mammalia; Rodentia; Cricetidae. The record is from RefSeq and is a predicted model, not a curated record.
GAGGUGCACAACUGCCUCUAACAGAGGCGCGAACUUUUACACCUACUUUUUGUUUCACUUCGGGUUUGGCGUGGCUUGUGGCACCGCCCAGGAUCGGGUCCCCAGACACUGAUCUUUUCCACAGCCCUGGGGAAGUUACCUCCCUAAGCCCUGUGGCCUCCACCAGCUGCUCUGAGAACUUCAUCCCGGGUUACCAGGAGCUGCUCCCUAGAGUGGCAGGCCGUUGGUGGCGACAACAAUGACAACAAUCAUUCUAAGCGUCUGCGGGAGGGGAUUGUCCUGUGAAGGCUCCAUGAUAAAAAGCGGCGACAAUUGCAGCGAACGGGAGUUGAAAUUAGCAAGAAACCAAGGAGCGCGAAGGCUGGAGGAGCAGAUUGGGCUGCGUCUGCCCUGCGCUCCGUGUUUCUGUCUCAGGCCGUCUGGUUGUCCCUCUUGGCUCGCAAAGUUUGACAAAUCCCGAAGACCAGAAGCCGAUCGCCCCGAGCGUCUCCCACCCUCCCCGCCGCGUGCGCCCCUCUCCCAGGAACCGAUCCCACCAACUCCCAGCCCCGCGCGCAAACUUACGUUUGAUCUGCCGGGGUUUGCUCUGCUUUCGCCGGGACAUCUCGGCCGCGGCCGCUGCCGCUGGGGCUCCCGCGGUGUCCGCGGUCCCUGCUACCGUUCCCUGGGCUGUCGCCGCCUCUGUCUCAGCCGCCGCCGCCGCUGGCCAGGCUCGGGCCGCCGCGGGCCGCCGGACUCCAGUUCCGCCACAGGGAAGCACCGUGGAGCUAAUAAAAGAUUUGAUAUUGUCAUAAUUUUUCAAUCAGGGGAUCAACAAAUUGAUCAAGCAACCUCCCAGGCCAAUCUUAUUAGACAUCAAGCUGCUUUCUUUAUUAUGAAAGCUGUGAAUUUCCCAGUAAGAUAUAUACAAAUAAUUUGAACAGCAAUAGUUUUUUCCCCCUGGAGAAAAAGAGUACCUAGUCUGUGGACUGCAGACACUGAUGCUCUCUGAAAUCCUAGCAUAACAUUAAGCAUCCAAUUCUGAUUCAGAGUUUAUUUUCCUCAGGCCUUUGUCACAAUGGCUAAUGCAAGGUGUAAUCUGACUUCAGAAACUCUACAUAGAGAUGCGAAACUAUAGUUACUGAGCAUCCAUGCAUAUCUUCACCAAACGACCCUCACAACCAACAAAGCAACACAACAUUAAGAACAUAAAAUUCAGAAUAUUUUUAGAUGCAAUGUGGUGAGCUGCCUUGAGCUUCUGUCAACGGGACUUCCCACUAAGUGGGACUGCACACUAGAACUGUGAGCCAAAGAUCCCUUAAAGAUGCUGUUGCCCUCAGACAGCAGGAAGUAAUUUUAAGAACAGGACACCAACAUUUCCAAGAGACAAUGAGAAGUGUCUACUCCUGGCAGCACCAAUCUACUUCAGAGGAGAUGAUGGGCAUUGAAGAAACUCCACAUGGAGUUUACUUUCUUUGUGGCAAAAGUUAGCCACUGUGCAAGAAACUGCCCUUGCUUCAACUGCUAACAGUUUGCUGUCCAAAUUAGAAAAGCAGGACAGAAAAGAAAUUGACUGCCGAACUUUGCCAAGACAAG